This 24-nucleotide non-coding RNA is filed under the name Arabidopsis thaliana (thale cress). Lineage: Eukaryota; Viridiplantae; Streptophyta; Magnoliopsida; Brassicales; Brassicaceae. The record is from RNAcentral.
GAAGGAAUGACCACGUGUGGUUGG